AUGAACGCUGGCGGCGUGGAUGAGUCAUGCAAGUCAAACGGUCCUGCUUAGCUCGCAAGAGCGACGCAGGAUAGUGGCAGACGAGGUAGUAAUGCGUAGGAAUCUACUCUUAAGUCGGGAAUAAUUCGCCGAAAGGCGAACUAAUACCCGAUGGUCUCGCAAGAGUAAAGGAUUAAAAUUGAAAAAUUUUAAAUCGCUUAAGAAAGGGCCUACGUUGUAUCAGCUAGUUGGUAGGGUAAUGGCCUACCAAGGCUAAGACGCAUAGGGGGAGUGAGAGCUUGGCCCCCACCGAUGGAACUGAGAACGGUCCAUACACCUACGGGUGGCUGCAGACGAGAAUAUUCGACAAUGGGCGAAAGCCUGAUCGAGCGACGCCGCGUGAUGGAUGAAGUCCCUCUGGGACGUAAACAUCUUUUGUAGAGGAGAAAUCCCGGCUUGCCGGGAUGAUAGUACUCUAAGAAUAAGGGGUUGCUAAACUCGU
Molecule: ribosomal RNA, 481 nt
Filed under: uncultured bacterium
Lineage: Bacteria
Description: bacterial SSU rRNA
Rfam family: Bacterial small subunit ribosomal RNA
Source: RNAcentral